Molecule: non-coding RNA, 641 nt
Organism: Pimephales promelas (fathead minnow)
Lineage: Eukaryota; Metazoa; Chordata; Actinopteri; Cypriniformes; Leuciscidae
Source: RefSeq, a predicted model, not a curated record
UUUCUCAUGAAAUAGCUGAACACUUCAGCAUUUCCCACGACACAUCUCAAACUUGCAUCUGAUUCCUAUCAGCCGUUUGAUGUCAGCAGGAGGACACAAGACGUGGCAUGUCCGAUCCCAAAACUGCAUUUCAAAAGAUGAAACGUCUGAUCGUUCUACUGCUCCGUUAUGCUCUCAUCCAUUUGUGCUCACACUGAGCCCAUUAAGAGAAGAUUUAAAGCUUCAAAAGGGUCUAUGUAGGUUAACCGUGGGAGUGACGUAUAUGGGAAUAAAAUGCAGUGAGCAGAUACGGGCCAAACUGUGUCCUGGUUGUCGGAAUGGUGUCUGGAGCCAAACAUGAAGUGUGAUUGAGUGUCUGUGUCACUGCAGCCUCGGUACCAUCUGCUGCCACUCUCUCUCUCUCCCUACCAGGUAUUAAUGAACCUGGGUUAAGUACAGUUUGACCCUUUUUAGUCUGGGUUGAUUUGAUGAGAAAAAUGGGUCAGUAGCAUAAUUCUUUCUGUCCUGUAUUGUGUUUUACCUCUAUUGUCUUGGUAUCUUGCAUUGCAAAACAUGUAAUACUGGAUUAAGAGCUGUGUUGCUUACUAAACCUGCAGCAAUUGUUGUCAUUUCAGUAAAGAGCAAAGUGUUAUUAGCACUUA